CAGAGUAGAGAUUUGUGCGUGAAGUGCCCAAUGAACGGGGAGUUGUCGUUGGGACGAAAGGUUAACCUGCGGUACAAAUUUCGCAUCCCGCUGU
RNAcentral lists this non-coding RNA (94 nucleotides) under chicken gut metagenome. Its description in RNAcentral is "THF riboswitch". It matches the Rfam family "THF (Tetrahydrofolate) riboswitch aptamer". Rfam says of the family: THF riboswitch presents a pseudoknot that joins P1-P2 and the loop of P3 and two THF binding. The record is from RNAcentral.